This 349-nucleotide ribosomal RNA is filed under the name uncultured eukaryote. Its description in RNAcentral is "partial 18S ribosomal RNA". It matches the Rfam family "Eukaryotic small subunit ribosomal RNA", at positions 1470 to 1796 of the family's 1831-position model. The record is from RNAcentral.
CCCUUAGAUGUUCUGGGCCGCACGCGCGCUACACUGAUGGAUUCAACGAGUUUUUGCUGUUUCUUAGUUGAGAUGGUUGACUUGGCCGGAAGGUCUGGUAAAUCUUUUGAAUGUCCAUCGUGAUGGGGCUAGAUUUUUGCAAUUAUUAAUCUCCAACGAGGAAUUCCUAGUAAACGCAAGUCAUCAGCUUGCAUUGAUUACGUCCCUGCCCUUUGUACACACCGCCCGUCGCACCUACCGAUUGAACGAUCCGGUGAAAUCUUCGGAUUCUGCGUUUGUGCAUUGAUUUGUGUGGAUGCGGGAAAAGUUGAGUAAACCUUAUCGUUUAGAGGAAGGUGAAGUCGUAACA